Nothoprocta perdicaria is the source of this 1161-nucleotide long non-coding RNA. RefSeq lists it as uncharacterized. The transcript is spliced from 3 exons. The record is from RefSeq and is a predicted model, not a curated record. NCBI's taxonomy places the organism in Eukaryota, Metazoa, Chordata, Aves, Tinamiformes, Tinamidae.
CUCUCUGCUUUUACCCCUUUUCUUUCCAGUGAAAAAGCCUGUGGAAGAGUGUUCCUUUGGGACCAGAAGACCUGCAUUCCUCAAACUGACCCCAAACAAUGGCAAAAGGAUCAGCCUCCUGCCACAGGAAGAGGUCUCCUUUAUACAGUGGUAGCUGCCAGUGCAAGAGCAAGGAAUCUAGCUCUGCUGUGACCAUGCCCUGAUCCUCGUCGUCAUCUACUGCRUUUUCUUGACCUUCUGCAGGAUAUGUGAUGUGCAGGUCCUGGGUCCUCCCUCUGAGCUGUGCACAUGGGUGCUCGCUGAGGAGGGGGGCAGCACUGCAUCUGUGAACGCCACGUGGGAAAUCAGCAAUGGCAGARGACCCUGCCAGGCUCCUGUGUGUUUGGUUGCCACCAUCUCGUCAGGGGUCUAAGAGGGAACGUGAAGGUCUGCGUAGAGCAGUGCCACCAUCUCUUGGGAAGGCUGCGACAUCUCUGGAAAGGCUGCGACAUCUCUGGAAAGGCAGCUCUUCCUUUCCAUUUUUCAGGAUAUAGAGAGCAGCAACUAACUCGUGAGAUGAAAUGUAAGGUAUUGAUUUAGCCUUGUGUUCCCUGGUCCUUUCAGCUUCCUCUUGCAUCCCAGGACUGAGGGAUACAUGGUGCUGCCCCUAACUGAUUGCUCUCUACUCUUCUUCACUCAAGUGCAUUCUUGAAACAAGGGUACAGGCAGAGAGGUACAGGAGAGUGGAGCUGUUGGGAAAAGAGCUGCUAGUGUACAUGGAUGGGGCACAGUGAGUCAAUGCACUUAUUUUCAGCAUUUGGUCCCAGGGCAGAAUAUCACUAGUUUAUCUGUAGAGAUGAACUAAAAUAUCCCAUUUCUGGUCACCUUAAGAACAGAUAGUGUCAGAAAAGUCAGGAAAGCAUUUCCCUUCUAAACAAGGAAUAUACCUGCAAAAAAAAAAAAAUUAAUGCUCUCCUUACAUAGCUUGCCUUUAGAUUGCAGAAAAGAGCACAAGCCAAGGGACUGGACUAAAGCAGGGCUGAUGCUGAAGGGGAAACCGACUGCAUCUGCCUGAGCAUGGAAGGAGUAGAGAAAUGCAUGAUCCAAGCUGCUUUACUUUUGUUGCCUGUUUUUUUGGAUUUGGGUGAGUUAUGGCAUACAGAGAGCAGAGAGCUUUGCCCA